Molecule: ribosomal RNA, 115 nt
Filed under: Pteropus alecto (black flying fox)
Lineage: Eukaryota; Metazoa; Chordata; Mammalia; Chiroptera; Pteropodidae
Also listed under: 1 other name
Source: RNAcentral
GUCUAUGGCCAUGCCAUCCUGAACAAGCCCGAGUCUGAUUUUGGAAGCUAAGGAAGGUCGGGCCUGGUUAGUACUUGGAUGGGAGACCACCUAGGAAGACCAGGUGCUGUAGGCA